GCACAAGCGGUGGAGCAUGUGGUUCAAUUCGAAGCAACGCGCAGAACCUUACCAGCCCUUGACAUGUCCUCUAUGGAUUCCAGAGACGGAGUCCUUCACUUCGGGUGGGAGGAACACAGGUGCUGCAUGGCUGUCGUCAGCUCGUGUCGUGAGAUGUUGGGUUAAGUCCCGCAACGAGCGCAACCCUCGCCCUUAGUUGCCAUCAUUUAGUUGGGCACUCUAAGGGGACUGCCGGUGAUAAGCCGGAGGAAGGUGGGGAUGACGUCAAGUCCUCAUGGCCCUUACGGGCUGGGCUACACACGUGCUACAAUGGCGGUGACAGAGGGAUGCAAAGGGGCGACCCUUCGCAAAUCUCAAAAAUCCGUCUCAGUUCGGAUUGGGGUCUGCAACUCGACCCCAUGAAGUUGGAAUCGCUAGUAAUCGCAGAUCAGCACGCUGCGGUGAAUACGUUCCCGGGC
RNAcentral lists this ribosomal RNA (458 nucleotides) under uncultured bacterium. Its description in RNAcentral is "bacterial SSU rRNA". It matches the Rfam family "Bacterial small subunit ribosomal RNA", at positions 923 to 1379 of the family's 1533-position model. The record is from RNAcentral.